This 259-nucleotide ribosomal RNA is filed under the name uncultured bacterium. RNAcentral's name for it is "partial 16S ribosomal RNA". It matches the Rfam family "Bacterial small subunit ribosomal RNA", at positions 72 to 334 of the family's 1533-position model. The record is from RNAcentral.
CUUGCUUUCUUUUGCUGGCGACCGGCGCACGGGUGAGUAACACGUAUCCAACCUGCCCUUUACUCGGGGAUAGCCUUUCGAAAGAAAGAUUAAUACCCGAUAGUAUAAUGACUCCGCAUGGUUUCAUUAUUAAAGGAUUCCGGUAAAGGAUGGGGAUGCGUUCCAUUAGGUUGUUGGUGAGGUAACGGCUCACCAAGCCUUCGAUGGAUAGGGGUUCUGGGAGGAAGGUCCCCCACAUUGGAACUGAGACACGGUCCAA